RNAcentral lists this ribosomal RNA (659 nucleotides) under Klebsiella pneumoniae. RNAcentral's name for it is "bacterial SSU rRNA". It matches the Rfam family "Bacterial small subunit ribosomal RNA", at positions 1 to 651 of the family's 1533-position model. The record is from RNAcentral. Lineage: Bacteria; Pseudomonadati; Pseudomonadota; Gammaproteobacteria; Enterobacterales; Enterobacteriaceae.
AAAUUGAAGAGUUUGAUCAUGGCUCAGAUUGAACGCUGGCGGCAGGCCUAACACAUGCAAGUCGAGCGGUAACACAGAGAGCUUGCUCUCGGGUGACGAGCGGCGGACGGGUGAGUAAUGUCUGGGAAACUGCCUGAUGGAGGGGGAUAACUACUGGAAACGGUAGCUAAUACCGCAUAACGUCGCAAGACCAAAGUGGGGGACCUUCGGGCCUCAUGCCAUCAGAUGUGCCCAGAUGGGAUUAGCUAGUAGGUGGGGUAACGGCUCACCUAGGCGACGAUCCCUAGCUGGUCUGAGAGGAUGACCAGCCACACUGGAACUGAGACACGGUCCAGACUCCUACGGGAGGCAGCAGUGGGGAAUAUUGCACAAUGGGCGCAAGCCUGAUGCAGCCAUGCCGCGUGUGUGAAGAAGGCCUUCGGGUUGUAAAGCACUUUCAGCGGGGAGGAAGGCGUUAAGGUUAAUAACCUUGGCGAUUGACGUUACCCGCAGAAGAAGCACCGGCUAACUCCGUGCCAGCAGCCGCGGUAAUACGGAGGGUGCAAGCGUUAAUCGGAAUUACUGGGCGUAAAGCGCACGCAGGCGGUCUGUCAAGUCGGAUGUGAAAUCCCCGGGCUCAACCUGGGAACUGCAUUCGAAACUGGCAGGCUAGAGUCUUG